RNA transcript from Dreissena polymorpha, 1284 nucleotides. It is a transcript of the gene named transforming growth factor-beta-induced protein ig-h3-like, with no coding region annotated. NCBI's taxonomy places the organism in Eukaryota, Metazoa, Mollusca, Bivalvia, Myida, Dreissenidae. The record is from RefSeq and is a predicted model, not a curated record. The transcript is spliced from 6 exons.
AAAGGCAUCCUGGGAAUGAAUUAUUAAAGAAAUACGGAAUAAAACUGUGCUACGUAUCUCUUCACAUGUGAGUCCGCGUGACCUCUUCACACGGAGGCUAUAUAAUGGUCGGUAUCGUGAAUACAGUUUUAGAGGUGUCUAUUGAGUCUUUUGAUUUACAACUUAACUGCUCAAACGCGCAAUGAUUCGAAAUUUGGCGUUAUUGUUGGUUGUGUCAGUGUGCGGGUGUCGGGCUCUUAGUACAGUGGAGACCUUGGCGAGCGACCCAAACUUCUCUUCUCUCGUCUCCGCAUUGACACAGGCAGGCCUCAUAGACACGCUUAACCAAGGAGUGUUUACAAUUUUCGCCCCGAGCAACUUUUAUUUUGAGACCCUUAAAUACAUCGAUCCGCAUGGUCUGCUAACAGACGCCGCUCUCUUCAAAAGUGUCCUACUUUAUCACGUGGUUGCGGGUCGAGUGAUGCGAGCAAAUAUGACCAACGAACACACCGUGACCUCUGUUCAGGGAAAGCCAAUCAGAUUUAACACCUACCAACACAACCAUGUCACAACAGCCCAAGGAUAUCAAAUAAUUUUUUUCGACAAGACCGCUGAUAAUGGGGUCAUCCACGUUAUCACCAACAUCAUGAUGCCGCCAAAGGGCGACAUUGUCAACAUCGUAUCAAACGAUAACGAGACAAGCACGCUGCUUUCAUUUGCUGUCACAGCAGGCAUCGUAGGAGCUCUUCAAGGUGACGGUCUGACGUUACUCGCUCCGACUAACGCAGCCUUCAGCCAACUUCCGAACGCCACUUUGUCUCAGCUUACCGGAAAUGUCGCUCUUCUGACUGAGGGUUUUGGUACACUGUAACUACAAGAAUAACUGCAGAUUCCUAAUAUCCACGCAGAGUUGUCGUUCCUUGCUCUCACAUCCAAUUUCUGCCAUGACAAGAAAGUCCUUACAUAUUUGAGGUGUUGAAGUAUCACGUGGUCCCUCACACCGAACACUUAGUGGGCCUUUUCGAUGGGGCUCGGCUACACACUCUGGAUGGGAAUGAGAUUAUCUCCGUUCACAUGAACAUUACUUGGGACUCCGUGCGUUUCAAUUCGAAGUCCCACAUGACCAAGCGAGAAAGCGCGGCCACCAACGGGGUAGUAUAUUACAUCGACACCGUUCUCAUCCCGAAACGUCACGCCAAUAUUGUCGGUUAGAUGAAAUAAUCAAAUACUGAAAAUGUCUACACAUUGCUGUUAAAUAUUUUUGUGCGUGAUUUUUGUUAAACAAAUACACGUUUAUUCUUAUAA